This 250-nucleotide ribosomal RNA is filed under the name uncultured bacterium. RNAcentral describes it as "partial 16S ribosomal RNA". It matches the Rfam family "Bacterial small subunit ribosomal RNA", at positions 524 to 774 of the family's 1533-position model. The record is from RNAcentral.
UACGUAGGUGGCAAGCGUUGUCCGGAAUUAUUGGGCGUAAAGCGCGCGCAGGCGGGAACACAAGUCUGAUUUAAAAGUGCGGGGCUCAACCCCGUGAUGGGUUAGAAACUGUGUUUCUUGAGUGCAGGAGAGGAAAGUGGAAUUCCCAGUGUAGCGGUGAAAUGCGUAGAGAUUGGGAGGAACACCAGUGGCGAAGGCGACUUUCUGGACUGUGUCUGACGCUGAGGCGCGAAAGCCAGGGGAGUGAACG